This is a long non-coding RNA of Ostrinia nubilalis (European corn borer), 4121 nucleotides long. RefSeq lists it as uncharacterized. The record is from RefSeq and is a predicted model, not a curated record. The transcript is spliced from 2 exons. Lineage: Eukaryota; Metazoa; Arthropoda; Insecta; Lepidoptera; Crambidae.
CACUUUAUGUUAUUAUGUGCUCAAAAUACUAGUGCCAUCAUACCACUUAUAAUGUCUAUGGAAGCUAUAUUUUUCAUUAUCUGUACCGGAAGUGUAAGUUUGUCAAUGUAUCCAAUUUUGAAGAAUAGACUUCCUUCUGGUCUUGUCAGCGGAACCGAUCACAUGUUGUUUUCUUUAAAAUCCCAAAUUAUAAUAGGUUAUGGGCCCAGAGCGUUUCUGGCUACUAUUCAAUUAGUUCUCGCGACAGUUGUUAUUGUGGACAUUGAUAACAGUUGCAGUAAGUGGAAAGAAUUGUUUUUUGUGGAUUUGUGCAGUGUCGGUUAGUAGGUACUUGAGAUUUGAACUGAAAAUUCAAAAUGGCAUCAUCGAACUAUUUGGUGAAUGUACCUAAACUAAGAGGACGAGAAAAUUAUUGUGAAUGGUGUUUCGCGGCGGAAAACUUCUUGAUUUUGGAAGGAACGCUAGAAUGCAUCAAGCCAGAAGCAGGUCAAGCGCCAGUUGCACCCACGGAUGACGCUAAAACCAGAGCCAAAUUGAUCUUAACGAUAGAUCCCUCCAUUUAUGUUCAUAUCAGAGAAGUAAAAUCUACGAAGGAACUAUGGGAAAAAUUGAAGUCGCUGUAUGAUGAUUCUGGAUUCACGAGAAGGAUAAGCCUAUUGAGAAAUCUAAUUUCAAUAAGACUGGAUGACUGUGAUUCCAUGAAUUCAUAUGUAACUCAAUUAGUGGAGACGGGUCAGAAAUUGGCUGGGACUGGCUUCAACAUUAACGACGAGUGGAUUGGCUCUUUGUUACUGGCUGGAUUACCCGAUAAAUUUUCGCCAAUGAUUAUGGCGAUUGAACACUCUGGCAUCAGUAUCACGACGGAUUCAAUCAAAUCUAAAUUAUUAGACAUGGAGUCUGAAGUUCGUGUUGAAAGUGCUGCAUUUGGUUCGUUCCAUAGUAACAAAAGUCAAUGGUACCAACAUAAGAGAAAUGUCAAAUCAAAUGACAAGGGAGACAAAACCAAAGACAAAAAUCGCGGUAAAGAUGGCGACCAGUUGUCAAAGUCGAACAUAAAAUGUUUCCGAUGUAAACAAAUGGGACACUAUCGUAAUCAGUGUACGAAUUCAGUGAAUACCAAAGAAAUGGAUCGAAAACAGACGAACGCAUUCAGUGCUGUGUUUCUGAGCGGUUUUUAUAGUAAAUCUGAUUGGUAUGUCGAUUCCGGCGCCAGCGUACAUCUGACGACGAAUGAACAUUGGAUCGUAAACCCAUCUUACGAACAUAGUAUGAAGGAAAUUGUGGUUGCCAACGAGAGUAAAGUUCCAGUAAAAUGUUGCGGUGAAGUAAACAUUACUACUUGUACUGAUGAAUGCAAUUUCGAUGUGACAGUGGAAGAGGUUAUGUGUGUACCGAGUCUCACAACUAAUCUUCUAUCUGUGAGCCAACUUAUAAAGAAGGGAAACAAAGUGGACUUCAGAGCGGGCGGUUGUGAUAUUUAUAAUCGAAAGGGAGUUUUGGUGGCGACAGCGAUCCUGGUCAAUGGUGUUUACAGACUCAAUUCGCCAGUGCCUCUGUCAGCAGUGGCUGUGGUUUCCAGUGAAACUUGGCACCGAAGGUUGGGGCACGUCAAUAGCUCCUACCUGAAUAAAAUGAAGGAUGCUGUGGAAGGUUUUAUUAUGGAUGAUAAGGCAGUGACAAGUAAAAAUUCCUGCGUUACUUGCUGUGAAGGAAAACAAACUCGCCUGCCCUUCCCGAGUAAUGGAAAUAGAAGCAGUCAGUUGCUGGAGGUAAUUCAUAGUGAUGUGUGCGGACCUAUGGAGAGCUGCUCUAUUGGAGGAUCAAGAACCGAACAGUAUCAGCGGGUUUAAACGACAAAACGCCUUAUGAGCUGUGGACUAAUAAGAAACCUGAUAUUAGUCAUCUUCGUGUAUUUGGGAGUACUUGCAUGGUUCAUAUACCGAAAGAAAAAAGGUUAAAGUGGGACAAAAAAUCAGUCAAAUGUAUUCUAGUGGGCUAUCCAGAUAAUAUUAAAGGAUACAGAGUGUAUAAUCCCCAUACCAAGUCAAUAACAUGCAGUCGAGAUGUCAUAAUAAUUGAAAAAGAAUUGCCAGUGAGCAAUGUGACAGCUACUGUUGAAAACUUGGACUUGGAUGCUCCUUAUGUCGAAGAAGAAGAGGAAACAUCAGAUGCAGUGGGGGACAAUUGUCAGUCAGAUGACUCCUUUUUGUCUUCAGCAAAUUAUACAGAAGAUCCAUCUUAUGUGCCGAGUGAGAAUGAAGAAACUGACAGUUCUACGGAGAACACGGAGAGUGUGGUAAAAGUGAUACCUGCUAGAGAAAGGCGAAAACCAGACAGGUAUGGUUUCUCUAAUAUGUGUAUAGACACUUCCGGUUCCGGCGCAGAUGACAAUGAACUCACUUUAGAGGAAGCCCUACAAUGUCCAGAAAGAGAACAUUGGUUGCGUGCUGUCAAAGAGGAGUUGCAGAGUUUUCAUGAUAACUGUGCAUGGGAGCUCGUAGACCCUCCUAAAGAAGGAACUGUUGUAAAGUGCAAGUGGGUGCUAAAAAAGAAGUAUGAUAAGGACAAUAAUGUUUGUUAUCGUGCCAGACUGGUAGCAAAGGGUUAUAAUCAAAAAUAUGGAAUUGAUUACAAUGAAACCUUCUCCCCAGUAGUCCGUCACUCUACACUAAGAUUAUUGUUUGCUUUGGCAGUACAACUAGAUUUGGAAACAUCUCAUUUAGAUGUUAAGACUGCCUUCCUAAAUGGAGAAUUGGAGGAGACCAUAUUUAUGCAGAAACCAGAUGGUUUUGAGUAUUAUAAUGAUAAUGUGAAUGAAAAUAAAGUUCUUGAGUUACACAAAGCUAUAUAUGGUCUCAAGCAAUCCUCUAGGGCGUGGCAUAAAAAAGUAGAUAGUGUGAUGUUAUGUAGUGGUUAUAGAAAAUCAAAAAUUGAGCCAUGUUUAUAUACAAAAAUUGUUAAUGGUCUUAGGACAAUAGUAACAUUGUAUGUUGAUGAUUUUUUUAUUUUUUCAAAUGAUAAAUCUGAAAUGGCUCUGUUAAAACAAACUUUAAGCAGUAAAUUUAAGAUUAAAGAUUUAGGAGAAAUUAAAAAAUGUCUUGGUAUGAAUGUAAACAUAGAUAAAGUGAAUAAUGUUAUUACAUUGAGUCAGGAAAACUAUAUUAAUGAGUUGUUGCAUAAAUUUAAUAUGAACGAAUGUAAAACUUUUGAGACUCCUAUGGAGCCUAGAUUAAAUAUUGUUAAAAAUGAAGGGCAGAAGUGUGAUAACCCUUAUCAGCAACUUAUAGGUAGCCUCAUGUAUCUUGCUGUUCUUACAAGGCCUGAUAUUUCAUAUGCUGUAGGAUAUUUAAGUCAAUUUAAUAAUUGUUCUAAUAGUGAGCACUGGUCCUAUGCUAAAAGAAUAUUAAAAUAUUUAAAGGGGAGUAAAAAGAUAGGUUUAAAAUAUUGUAAAAAUGGUAAUGUUGAUAUCGUGGGUUAUGUUGAUAGUGAUUGGGGAAAUUGUUCAGAGGAUAGAAAAUCUUACUCAGGUUACUGUUUCAUGUUAUCGGGUUCUGUCAUAUCAUGGAGUUGUAAGAAGCAGAGAACAGUGGCACUCUCUAGCACAGAGGCCGAAUACAUGGCACUUACAGAAGGUUGUCGUGAAUCUGUAUAUCUUAGAAACUUGCAAAGUGAGAUUACUGAAAGAUUAUAUACAAUUGAAUUAUAUAAUGAUAAUCAAAGUGCAAAAAAAUUGUCAGAAAAUCCUAUUUUUCACAAUAGGACUAAACACAUUGAUAUCCGUUAUCACUAUUGUAGAGAAGUAGUUUCUAAUGGUAUAGUUAAAGUUAGUUAUUUGCCUACAAGUGACAUGCCAGCAGACAUGUUUACAAAAAGCUUGAAUUUUAUUAAACAUAGAAAGUUUAUGAACAUUUUAGGUAUUGUUAAUGUCUGUUGUAAUUAAUGUAAAUUGAGAUUUUGAGAGUGGGGGUGUUAUUAUGUGCUCAAAAUACUAGUGCCAUCAUACCACUUAUAAUGUCUAUGGAAGCUAUAUUUUUCAUUAUCUGUACCGGAAGUGUAAGUUUGUCAAUGUAUCCAAUUUUGAAGAAUAGACUUCCUUCUGGUCUUGUCAGCGGAACCGAUCA